This is a non-coding RNA of Mycena crocata, 93 nucleotides long. The record is from the annotation of a GenBank genome assembly. NCBI's taxonomy places the organism in Eukaryota, Fungi, Basidiomycota, Agaricomycetes, Agaricales, Mycenaceae.
GACCCGAUGGUGAAGUUCAUCACACCUGCAUUCCGUACACGCAUGGUGGUGCUUCUGAGGCGGGAGUUCCUGGUUCAAACCCAGGUCGGGUCA